RNAcentral lists this ribosomal RNA (429 nucleotides) under bacterium. RNAcentral's name for it is "partial 16S ribosomal RNA". It matches the Rfam family "Bacterial small subunit ribosomal RNA", at positions 355 to 776 of the family's 1533-position model. The record is from RNAcentral.
UAGGGAAUCUUCCACAAUGGACGCAAGUCUGAUGGAGCAACGCCGCGUGAGUGAAGAAGGUUUUCGGAUCGUAAAGCUCUGUUGUUGGUGAAGAAGGAUGGAGGUAGUAACUGGCCUUUAUUUGACGGUAAUCAACCAGAAAGUCACGGCUAACUACGUGCCAGCAGCCGCGGUAAUACGUAGGUGGCAAGCGUCGUCCGGAUUUAUUGGGCGUAAAGCGAGCGCAGGCGGAAGAAUAAGUCUGAUGUGAAAGCCCUCGGCUUAACCGAGGAACUGCAUCGGAAACUGUUUUUCUUGAGUGCAGACGAGGAGAGUGGAAUUCCAUGUGUAGCGGUGGAAUGCGUAGAUAUAUGGAAGAGCACCAGUGGCGAAGGCGACUCUCUGGUCUGCAACUGACGCUGAGGCUCGAAAGCAUGGGUAGCGAACAGG